RNAcentral lists this ribosomal RNA (460 nucleotides) under uncultured bacterium. RNAcentral describes it as "partial 16S ribosomal RNA". It matches the Rfam family "Bacterial small subunit ribosomal RNA", at positions 338 to 795 of the family's 1533-position model. The record is from RNAcentral.
CCUACGGGUGGCAGCAGUGAGGAAUAUUGGUCAAUGGCCGGAAGGCUGAACCAGCCAUGCCGCGUGAAGGUCAGUGCCCUUUGGGCGUUAAACUUCUUUUGUGCGGGAGCAAUAAUGGUCACGUGUGGCCAGACGAGAGUACCGUCAGAAUAAGCAUCGGCUAACUCCGUGCAAGCAGCCGCGGUAAUACGGGGGAUGCAAGCGUUAUCCGGAUUUAUUGGGUUUAAAGGGUGCGUAGGCUGUGAGGUAAGGCAGCGGUGAAAUGCCCCCGCUCAACGGGGUGAAGUGCCAUUGAUACUGCCUUGCUGGAAUGCGGAUGCGGUGGGAGGAAUGUGUGGUGUAGCGGUGAAAUGCAUAGAUAUCACACAGAACACCGAUUGCGAAGGCAGCUCACGAAUCCGCGAUUGACGCUGAGGCACGAAAGCGUGGGUAUCAAACAGGAUUAGAUACCCCAGUAGUC